GUUAGGGUAAAAGGAGAGCAAAGGACUCACUCUGCUCUAAUGCAAGCCUUUGCCUGCACAUGGUGUUUAUGUUCGACCUGCAAACCCUGUAUCAUUCAGAUCUCCCAUACUUGAUAAGACUUUUUCCCUGUAAGAUACAAUCACCUAUGUAAUGGACUCAGGACUAUGCAGAUCAUUGCAUCCAUGAACUUCCUACAGUCUCAAGGAACUUAUGUAUUUAAUUUUUUAUGCCUGCUGUGAACAUUUCUAUUUUUAGGGUUAAAAAAAAAAAAAAGAAAGAAGACACAUAACAGAGUUGGAAUGAGCACAACAGAUUUACUUGUUCAAACACACAAUGGUGGAAUUUCUCAUUCACCUGAGGCACAUAGCUGGUUUUUGUCUGGUUUGACUUCUUUUGCUCCUUAAGGCUUGCACCAAUACUUCUGCAACUGCUCCUCUUGGUUUUAUAGAAAUGGGCAUAGAAUAAAGCCCAAAAGUUAAUCCUCACAGCUGCUGGCUGCAAUUUUAGUUGUAUGUCAAUAAAAGAAACAAGAUCCUAGGACAUGCAAGGCUGCUGCCCUGAGGCAAAAUAUAAAGGUAUUCUCCCUGAGAUGACUACUGAUAUCUAAAAACCCAGAUAGGCAGGCACUCUGGUGGCAUCUAGUGCAGAAGUGAAACACUCAGAUGGAGAAACCAAUGAGCAGGCUUAAACAUGCCCAAUCUACAGUCACCCCAUACAGUAUUUGGAGUGCUGCUGGUAACAACAGACUCGCCAGGAAGUUGAAAUCAUUGCAAAUGUUGUAUUUUAUGUUGUGAAAAAACCUGUUCAAAACACCUCUGUUGAGUGACAGGAUUGCAGCCUAGAAGCUGCAGAUGAGGCAAGAGGGACAGCAGGGCUCCCUCUCCUCUUACACAGUGCCAGCCUGCUGUAGCAGCCUUGUUCAGGGGUUACCCCUGCCCACGUAUCUUGUGAGGAACCGCUGGGGAGGCUCCUGGGAAGGGCCACAGCAGAGGCACAGUGGGAUGGAGACAAAAUGCAGCUCUGGGGAGCCAGCUGUAAUGCCACUGGAACUUUCUGGGAUUAAUCAUCUGGAAGGGAGUGAUUUUGUUUCCUUGUAUUUGAGGCCAUAUUUGCAUGGAGAUGUAAAUACUGUUUCAGUCUUCAGUACAAAUAAGCUGCCUGGACAAAAAGCUGCACCUUCUGCCCACAGAAUUUAUCUUCAUUUUCAAAAGUGGCAGCUGAACUACUGGCAGUUGUGUUGAUUACUUCUGGAAACCUUCCUGAGAAUCAGUGAACUUCUUUAAAAGUUUGUUAGGAAUUCUUCAUGUUCUUUAG
This 1315-nucleotide long non-coding RNA is filed under the name Junco hyemalis (dark-eyed junco). RNAcentral's name for it is "lncRNA (ENSJHYG00000011444.1)". The record is from RNAcentral. Lineage: Eukaryota; Metazoa; Chordata; Aves; Passeriformes; Passerellidae.